AGCCUCUAGCGAGCUUUGAGCGGCCCGUACCCUAAACCGACACAGGUGGUCAGGUAGAGAAUACCGAGGCGACGGGUGAACUGUGGUUAAGGAACUCGGCAAAUUGCCCCCGUAACUUAGGGAGAAGGGGGGCCGGACGCGUGAAGCCCCUUGCGGGUGGAGCGUGGUAUGGCCGCAGAGAGCAGGGGGAAGCGACUGUUUACUAAAAACACAGGUCCAUGCCAAGUCGUAAGACGAUGUAUAUGGACUGACGCCUGCCCGGUGCUGGAACGUUAAGGGGACCUGUUAGCUCUUCGGGGCGAAGCGGAGAACUUAAGCGCCAGUAAACGGCGGUGGUAACUAUAACCAUCCUAAGGUAGCGAAAUUCCUUGUCGGGUAAGUUCCGACCUGCACGAAUGGCGUAACGACUUCCCCACUGUCUCAACCACAGGCCCGGCGAAAUUGCAGUACGAGUAAAGAUGCUCGUUACGCGCGGCAGGACGGAAAGACCCCGGGACCUUUACUAUAGCUUGACAUUGGUAUCCGAAUUUAAUUGUGUAGGAUAGGUGGGAGCCGGUGAAGCUCGGACGCCAGUUCGGGUGGAGGCAUUGUUGAAAUACCACUCUGUUGGGUUUGGGUAUCUAACUUGCGGCCCUGAUCGGGUCGAGGGACAGUGUCUGGUGGGUAGUUUAACUGGGGCGGUUGCCUCCUAAAGGGUAACGGAGGCGCCCAAAGGUUCCCUCAGCCUGGUUGGCAAUCAGGUGUUGAGUGUAAGUGCACAAGGGAGCUUGACUGUGAGACUGACGGGUCGAGCAGGGACGAAAGUCGGGACUAGUGAUCCGGCACUUGCGUGUGGAAGCGGUGUCGCUCAACGGAUAAAAGGUACCCCGGGGAUAACAGGCUGAUCUUCCCCAAGAGUCCAUAUCGACGGGAUGGUUUGGCACCUCGAUGUCGGCUCGUCGCAUCCUGGGGCUGUAGCAGGUCCCAAGGGUUGGCUGUUCGCCCAUUAAAGCGGUACGCGAGCUGGGGUUUAGAACGGUCGUGAGACAGUUCGGUCCCUAUCCGCCGUGCGUCGUUGGAUACUUGAGAAGGGCUGCCCCUAGUACGAGAGGACCGGGACGGACGAACCUCUGGUGUGCCAGUUGUUCCGCCAGGAGCAUG
Molecule: ribosomal RNA, 1140 nt
Filed under: Persicaria minor
Lineage: Eukaryota; Viridiplantae; Streptophyta; Magnoliopsida; Caryophyllales; Polygonaceae
Description: bacterial LSU rRNA
Rfam family: Bacterial large subunit ribosomal RNA
Source: RNAcentral